RNAcentral lists this ribosomal RNA (693 nucleotides) under uncultured Bacillus sp. RNAcentral's name for it is "SSU rRNA". It matches the Rfam family "Bacterial small subunit ribosomal RNA", at positions 611 to 1301 of the family's 1533-position model. The record is from RNAcentral. Lineage: Bacteria; Bacillati; Bacillota; Bacilli; Caryophanales; Bacillaceae.
AACCGUGGAGGGUCAUUGGAAACUGGGGAACUUGAGUGCAGAAGAGGAAAGUGGAAUUCCACGUGUAGCGGUGAAAUGCGUAGAGAUGUGGAGGAACACCAGUGGCGAAGGCGACUUUCUGGUCUGUAACUGACACUGAGGCGCGAAAGCGUGGGGAGCGAACAGGAUUAGAUACCCUGGUAGUCCACGCCGUAAACGAUGAGUGCUAAGUGUUAGAGGGUUUCCGCCCUUUAGUGCUGCAGCUAACGCAUUAAGCACUCCGCCUGGGGAGUACGGCCGCAAGGCUGAAACUCAAAGGAAUUGACGGGGGCCCGCACAAGCUGUGGAGCAUGUGGUUUAAUUCGAAGCAACGCGAAGAACCUUACCAGGUCUUGACAUCCUCUGACAACCCUAGAGAUAGGGCCUUCCCUUUCGGGGGACAGAGUGACAGGUGGUGCAUGGUUGUCGUCAGCUCGUGUCGUGAGAUGUUGGGUUAAGUCCCGCAACGAGCGCAACCCUUGAUCUUAGUUGCCAGCAUUCAGUUGGGCACUCUAAGGUGACUGCCGGUGACAAACCGGAGGAAGGUGGGGAUGACGUCAAAUCAUCAUGCCCCUUAUGACCUGGGCUACACACGUGCUACAAUGGAUGGUACAAAGAGCCCGCAAACCCGCGAGGGCAAGCUAAUCUCAUAAAGCCAUUCUCAGUUCGGAUUGC